AGACAGAGAUUCCCUGGGAAUAUACCCGCUAAAGAACAGCAGUGUCUCAUGCCUCUCCUUCACCUCUCUGUGGAGAACACAGAGACAGAGAAAACUACAACCUUUCCCAAUGAGAAGCGAAGGACAUGCCUUCACCACUAGCAGCUGCUGCCACUUUGUACCUUCCUGUCCCAGAAGAUGUGGUACCAGCUGUGCAGAUCCCUGUUUACACUGGGCUUCAUCCCCUCCAGUAUUCAUUCAGCUUUCUUGCAAUGACAUUGGUGCCUGUGUGAUGCUUUUACUUCUUGUUCAAUUCUGGACCUCAGUGGGCACGGCACCAAGACCUACUGCUUCUGGUCACAAACCUCCAGAUGGAUCUACCAAAAUGAUACCUCACAGCUCCAUCACUUCAUUGCCCUAAAUCUGGCAUGUGGGAGGAAGGAACCAGAGCAGGAGAGAGAAGGAAUGCAAGAGGUGCCAGAGUUGAGCUCAGUACUGGUACAAGAUCAAUGAAGACCUCAAAACCAACCAACCAACCAAACAAGCAAACAAAAAACCUUCAAGUUUGUCACCAGUUCAAUGUGGAGGAAGAAGGUCAGAGAGGAGGCAUUUCAGACUGAUGUUUGGUUCAGGUUUAGUAAAUUCCUUGAGCAUUUUUAUUUGAAAUUUGUAUUAUAAUGCUUCUGGUGGGGAAAAAAUGAAUAACAGAACCACAGAACCUGAAUACUGCAACAUAAUGGCACACACAUUGCAGCCAGAUAGAUCCUGAUCCAAGUCUGACUGAUUAUAACUGCAGUAGAGAACUCUGGCCAAGGUAGUUUGCUAAAA
Anas platyrhynchos (mallard) is the source of this 807-nucleotide long non-coding RNA. RefSeq lists it as uncharacterized. Lineage: Eukaryota; Metazoa; Chordata; Aves; Anseriformes; Anatidae. The record is from RefSeq and is a predicted model, not a curated record.